CGCGUAGGCGGGAUGGCAAGUCGGUCGUGAAAUCCUUCGGCUCAACCGAAGAACGUCGGCCGAUACUGCCGUUCUUGAGGGAUGCAGAGGAGAUUGGAAUUCCCGGUGCAGCGGUGAAAUGUGUAGAGAUCGGGAGGAACACCGGUGGCGAAGGCGGGUCUCUGGGCACUCCCUGACGCUGAGGCGCGAAAGCGUGGGGAGCAAACG
This 207-nucleotide ribosomal RNA is filed under the name uncultured bacterium. Its description in RNAcentral is "partial 16S ribosomal RNA". It matches the Rfam family "Bacterial small subunit ribosomal RNA", at positions 568 to 774 of the family's 1533-position model. The record is from RNAcentral.